This 253-nucleotide ribosomal RNA is filed under the name uncultured bacterium. RNAcentral's name for it is "partial 16S ribosomal RNA". It matches the Rfam family "Bacterial small subunit ribosomal RNA", at positions 524 to 776 of the family's 1533-position model. The record is from RNAcentral.
UACAGAGGUCUCAAGCGUUGUUCGGAUUCAUUGGGCGUAAAGGGUGCGUAGGUGGCGCUGUAAGUCGGGUGUGAAAUUUCGGAGCUUAACUCCGAAACUGCAUUCGAUACUGCGGUGCUUGAGGACUGGAGAGGAGACUGGAAUUUAUGGUGUAGCAGUGAAAUGCGUAGAGAUCAUAAGGAAGACCAGUGGCGAAGGCGGGUCUCUGGACAGUUCCUGACACUGAGGCACGAAGGCCAGGGGAGCAAACAGG